Molecule: ribosomal RNA, 367 nt
Filed under: uncultured bacterium
Lineage: Bacteria
Description: bacterial SSU rRNA
Rfam family: Bacterial small subunit ribosomal RNA
Source: RNAcentral
GAAGGGGGCUAGCGUUGCUCGGAAUUACUGGGCGUAAAGGGCGCGUAGGCGGACAGUUUAGUCAGAGGUUAAAGCCCAGGGCUCAACCUUGGAAUCGCCUUUGAUACUGGCUGUCUUGAGUACGGGAGAGGUGUGUGGAACUCCGAGUGUAGAGGUGAAAUUCGUAGAUAUUCGGAAGAACACCAGUGGCGAAGGCGACACACUGGCCCGUUACUGACGCUGAGGCGCGAAAGCGUGGGGAGCAAACAGGAUUAGAUACCCUGGUAGUCCACGCUGUAAACGAUGAGUGCUAGUUGUCGGCAUGCAUGCAUGUCGGUGACGCAGCUAACGCAUUAAGCACUCCGCCUGGGGAGUACGGUCGCAAGAU